UGCAGAUCACGAUAUCAUCGCCAGCAGUGCCUUGCACACUGGUGGUAGAAUGACCUUGAGACCCGCCCCGAUAUGAGCAUAAAAGUGGGAUGAUAAUCCCACGAUAUGCGAAUAUUGGGUAGGAUUGUGGGAGUGCGUAGCACGGAGCAAUCCGUUGGCA
This 160-nucleotide small RNA is filed under the name [Ruminococcus] lactaris ATCC 29176. RNAcentral's name for it is "Ruminococcus lactaris ATCC 29176 Clostridiales-1 RNA". It matches the Rfam family "Clostridiales-1 RNA". Lineage: Bacteria; Bacillati; Bacillota; Clostridia; Lachnospirales; Lachnospiraceae. The record is from Rfam by way of RNAcentral.